UCCAGGCCCUACGGGGUGCAGCAGGCGCGAAUACUCCGCAAUGCGGGAAACCGCGACGGGGCUACCCCGAGUGCCGGGCGAAGAGCCCGGCUUUUGCCCGGUGUAAGGAGCCGGGCGAAUAAGCGGGGGGUAAGUCUGGUGUCAGCCGCCGCGGUAAUACCAGCCCCGCGAGUGGUCAGGGUGAUUACUGGGCUUAAAGCGCCCGUAGCCGGCCCGGCAAGUCGCUCCUGAAAUCCCCGGGCUCAACCCGGGGGCGGGGGGCGAUACUGCCGGGCUAGGGGGCGGGAGAGGCCGCCGGUACUCCGGGGGUAGGGGCGAAAUCCGAUAAUCCCCGGAGGACCACCAGUGGCGAAAGCGGGCGGCCAGAACGCGCCCGACGGUGAGGGGCGAAAGCCGGGGGAGCAAAGGGGAUUAGAUACCCCUGUAGUCCCGGCCGUAAACGAUGCGGGCUAGCUGUCGGCUGGGCUUAGGGCCCGGCCGGUGGCGUAGGGAAACCGUUAAGCCCGCCGCCUGGGGAGUACGGCCGCAAGGCUGAAACUUAAAGGAAUUGGCGGGGGGGCACCACAAGGGGUGAAGCUUGCGGCUUAAUUGGAGUCAACGCCGGAAACCUUACCCGGGGCGACAGCAGGAUGAAGGCCAGGCUAACGACCUUGCCGGACGAGCUGAGAGGAGGUGCAUGGCCGUCGUCAGCUCGUGCCGUGAGGUGUCUGGUUAAGUCCAGCAACGAGCGAGACCCCCACCCCUAGUUGCUUCCCCGCUCUUCGGGGCGGGGGGCACACUAGGGGGACUGCCGGCGUAAGCCGGAGGAAGGAGGGGGCCACGGCAGGUCAGUAUGCCCCGAAACCCCGGGGCUGCACGCGAGCUGCAAUGGCGGGGACAGCGGGAUCCGACCCCGAAAGGGGGAGGCAAUCCCGUAAACCCCGCCCCAGUAGGGAUCGAGGGCUGCAACUCGCCCUCGUGAACGUGGAAUCCCUAGUAACCGCGUGUCACCAACGCGCGGUGAAUACGUCCCUGCCCCUUGCACUCACCGCCCGU
This 1035-nucleotide ribosomal RNA is filed under the name uncultured Thermoproteus sp. RNAcentral's name for it is "bacterial SSU rRNA". It matches the Rfam family "Archaeal small subunit ribosomal RNA", at positions 315 to 1353 of the family's 1478-position model. Lineage: Archaea; Thermoproteati; Thermoproteota; Thermoprotei; Thermoproteales; Thermoproteaceae. The record is from RNAcentral.